Long non-coding RNA from Osmerus eperlanus (European smelt), 2435 nucleotides. RefSeq lists it as uncharacterized. The transcript is spliced from 4 exons. The record is from RefSeq and is a predicted model, not a curated record. Lineage: Eukaryota; Metazoa; Chordata; Actinopteri; Osmeriformes; Osmeridae.
AGCACACCCAAUAGGCUCUGUGCACAAUCGUACUGACGAACUUCCGCUGUAGCCCAAAUUCGGCAAAUCAGUUUCCGUUUUACUGGAGGCGAUCACCCGCUUUGCCAAAAUGUCCGGCUUUAGUAGAUGUCUCCAAGACCUGCCUAAAAUAAGCGUCAGUGACGUCCAUCGCAUCGUAAAUGCUUGUUCCCCUGCUCCAACAAGCAAGCGGGACAAGGGAUUCAAACUUUACAUAUCCAGUUAUCUGCACAACUAUGAGGGUAAGUAAUUUAAUGUGGUGUUCCGGCCGGCUAGCGGCUAAGCUAGUUAGCGAUGUGUUAAUUUUUAGUGUAGUAUAGAAGCUUGUUUUUCUUUAUUUUAAACGCUAACUGUCCGUUUUUAUGUAUUAUCAUUUGUAUUUCUGCCCCUCUCAGUUUCUAAUAAAGAUCAGGACACAGGGGAAGUCGUGGUCAGGGCAUUGUGCUACAGGUCCAUGAGGAAAGCUGAGAAACCUCACAGUUUAAGUGUAUGGUGAAGUUAGGAUUGAUAAAUUCAAGUUCAGGUUCAGCCAACACUUAUAAGCUUGUUACUUUAAUAACCCGGCGUUCCUAAAGUUCCUGGGGAUUUAGCUAAGGUCAUUUACGUUUAUUAUAACUCUCAAAUAUAAUGAUCUUCAUUAGGCAGGUAAGUUUACCUAGCUGAUCCCCUCCGGGUUAAAUGUGUUCUUAUUCAAGUUUUCCCCAACUGUCAUUCAUUUAAGAUGCAAUCUUGUGUUUAAGGUAUUAGGCUAUCAUGUUUCAAAGAAAAACGAUUAUGGAUGUUGAUUUAAUGCAGUUGGCAUAUUAUACAACAUACACUAAUCCAACAUAUAGAAAUACAUGACAUUUGAUCUGUGAUUCUAGAAUAUUAGAUAUAGAAAAUAUUGUAAAAACAAGAUUGUGUCCUAAAAGAAUGGUUAAACAGUGACCAAGCUAAGAUAAAUAAGUAUUUACUAUGACAUUUUACUUACGCAGGUGGUACUGAAAGAUUCCAGUCCUGUGGAGCUGCUUCAUCACAGCUGCACAUGUGUUGCUGGAGCAGCUUUAUGCAACCACUGUGUCGCUCUGCUGUUCCAGUCAGCACAUUACUCUCAGCUGAAGGUGCCAGUGGUCCCUCCUGUGCUAAGCUGUACUGAAGGAGAACAGCAGUGGCACAAGCCCAGAACUUUGGGUGUAAAGCCAGGCCCUGUGGAUAAGAUGGCUGUGCUUUCUGCUAAACCAAAGUGUAGAGCAAAGAUGGUGUAAGGAGCACACUCUACAAAGGCCUCAGUGGGGAAUUGCCUGAUCUUACUGUCCUUCGGGUGACAGAGGCGUAUAAAGAUUUUUCUACAGCGGAGGCGCCGAUGAUCUGCAGCAUGAGCAUUAGCUGUGAAAUUCCCCUGGUUGACUCUGCCCUUGGCAAGGAUCAAGCCGGAAGUCCAUUGUCCUACCAACAACCAGCAACAGCAAAGAGAGAUCUGUCCUUCCAUGCUGCCCCACCACGUCCAUCUAUGCCUCUUCAGAAUUACUGCCUACAGCCAUCAAGUUGCAUGUUUGUCUGUACUGAACCACAACAGCUACACCAUAGGAGUCUGGAGGUCACCUGGGACAUGGUGCACAAAUUUGAAUGUGCUACCAGAGCACAAAGUUCAUGUACUGAAUGGCAUCAGCUAAGGAGGCAUAGAUUGACGGAGUCACGUUUCAGGGAGAUCUGCCUGGUUGGAGAGAACUCUGAAGAAGGUCUGGCUAACCGGAUACUGCAAGGGACACGUCAGACGGCAGCUAUGAAGAGGGGGCUCGAAUUAGAGGCAGAUGCUAUUUGGGAAUAUUGCCAAAUGAAAAGGGUCAACCACUACCCCUGUGGAUUGGUAAUUCAUCCUGACGCUCCUUGGCUGGGGGCGUCUCCAGACGGGUUAAUCUUUGACCCUUCAGAGCCAUGUCAGUUUGGGCUGAUUGAGAUGAAGUGCCCAAAUGUUAAAAGCUAUGUGGACUGCCCGUAUCUCAAAAUGAAGUCAGGCAAAUUGGAGCUAAAAGAAAAGCAUGCUUACUACUGGCAAGUACAGGGGCAGAUGCUAAUAACGGGAAUUAGUUGGUGUGAUUUUGUAGUCUCGGCUGAGGAAGAUGUACUCAUCCAAAGAAUUUACAGAGACAAUGAUGUUUUGGAUAUAAUCAGAGAGAAAGUAGACAGGUUUUAUUUUUAUGUCUACUUGCAGAAAUGUGUAAUGCUUCAGGAUUGAGAUAAAAUAAGAUCUGUUCUUUAAUUUUCACUUUUAAUGGUACGUUUUAUGAUUGAGAUUAUUUUAUGUUAAUGUUUGUGCAUCUUUAACUUUCAAUGGCAGAUGUUUUCCAUGAUUAACCUUGCCUUCCCAAAAAGUAAACACAAUAAAAUGUGUGUGUGCCGUGAGCACGCCAAGAAAUAUUUAUUAUCUUGAUAUUAAA